CCUACGGGAGGCUGCAGUGGGGAAUAUUGGACAAUGGGGGAAACCCUGAUCCAGCGACGCCGCGUGAGUGAAGAAGUAUUUCGGUACGUAAAGCUCUAUCAGCAGGAAAGAAAAUGACGGUACCUGACUAAGAAGCCCCGGCUAACUACGUGCCAGCAGCCGCGGUAAUAUGUAGGGGGCAAGCGUUAUCCGGAUUUACUGGGUGGAAAGGGAGCGUAGACGGCAGCGCAAGUCUGGAGUGAAAUGCCGGGGCCCAACCCCGGAACUGCUCUGGAAACUGUGAAGCUGGAGUGCAGGAGAGGUAAGCGGAAUUCCUGGUGUAGCGGUGAAAUGCGUAGAUAUCAGGAGGAACACCGGCGGCGAAGGCGGCUUACUGGACUGUAACUGACGUUGAGGCUCGAAGGCGUGGGGAGCAAACAGGAUUAGAUACCCCUGUAGUC
RNAcentral lists this ribosomal RNA (440 nucleotides) under uncultured bacterium. Its description in RNAcentral is "partial 16S ribosomal RNA". It matches the Rfam family "Bacterial small subunit ribosomal RNA", at positions 338 to 795 of the family's 1533-position model. The record is from RNAcentral.